Molecule: long non-coding RNA, 617 nt
Organism: Siniperca chuatsi (mandarin fish)
Lineage: Eukaryota; Metazoa; Chordata; Actinopteri; Centrarchiformes; Sinipercidae
Exons: 4
Source: RefSeq, a predicted model, not a curated record
GCUAAAAGGUGUUCCUUAUUAGCUAACUGUAGUAACACAUGCUAAUUACACAGCUAACGUAACCACUAAGAUUAGCCGCUGCCUUCUUGUAGCUAACCAACACAUCCGGAGCAGUUGAUGUACUUCCGGGCUACGGGAAACCAGUGGAGUUGGUGCCUGGCACUCAGAGAGGUGAUGCAUCGCCUGGCAACAGCAUAAAUUGGAUGAAUCUCCUUGUGGCAGUUGUGAUGAACAUUAUGAUAAGUAAAGAGCUCCCCAGCACAGCCAUUGGUGGACAGCAAUCCCCUCAAACAUCUGGUGGCCUGCCUGCAUGUAAGAGAGAGAGAGACAGCUGUGAAACGAGUGAGAGAGGGAUGAUAUUUUCUAACGCCACAUCAGUAAAAAUGGGGGAAAUGUCACUUUGGAUAACAGGAAGUAGAUUUUCAUAACCAGACAGCUGCUGAUGGAGGGUCCUGUCUUCGUUGACUUACAGAUACUGAAGAAAAAAUAAGAAAGAAAGCAAAUGCUGCAAUAAUCCAAGAUGAUAAGAGACAGAGGUAACAGCUGCUGUGUCGUCCAUCCUGGAACAGCCUCAGACAAGCCAAAUCAAUACACAUCUUUAAAAAGCUGCUGAAAGC